This 253-nucleotide ribosomal RNA is filed under the name uncultured bacterium. RNAcentral's name for it is "partial 16S ribosomal RNA". It matches the Rfam family "Bacterial small subunit ribosomal RNA", at positions 524 to 776 of the family's 1533-position model. The record is from RNAcentral.
UACGUAGGCAGCGAGCGUUGUUCGGAGUUACUGGGCGCAAGGCGUGCGUAGGCGGUGGUCCAAGUCUGGUGUGAAAUCUCCCGGCUUAACUGGGAGGGUGCGCCGGAAACUGGGCCGCUGGAGUACGGGAGAGGCAAGCGGAAUUCCAGGUGUAGCGGUGAAAUGCGUAGAUAUCUGGAGGAACACCCGUGGUGCAGACGGCUUGCUGGACCGUGACUGACGCUGAGGCACGAAAGCGUGGGUAGCAAACAGG